Molecule: ribosomal RNA, 119 nt
Filed under: Lepisosteus oculatus (spotted gar)
Lineage: Eukaryota; Metazoa; Chordata; Actinopteri; Semionotiformes; Lepisosteidae
Source: RNAcentral
GCCAGCAGCCAUAUCGCUCUGCAACUUACAACUGGCAACCCACUGAAGCUAAGCAGGUGUGAGCCUGGUCAGUACCUGGAUGGAAGACCUCCUGGGAAAAACUAAGGUUGCUGCUGGAA